UUUCUUAAGUCAAACUUUUU
RNAcentral lists this microRNA (20 nucleotides) under Oryza sativa (Asian cultivated rice). RNAcentral's name for it is "osa-miR1435". Lineage: Eukaryota; Viridiplantae; Streptophyta; Magnoliopsida; Poales; Poaceae. The record is from miRBase by way of RNAcentral.